ACAUCCAGAGAAUUUAGCAGAGAUGCUUUAGUGCCUUCGGGAACUCUGAGACAGGUGCUGCAUGGCUGUCGUCAGCUCGUGUUGUGAAAUUGUUGGGUUAAGUCCCGCAACGAGCGCAACCCUUUAUCCUUUGUUGCCAGCACGUAAUGGUGGGAACUCAAAGGAGACUGCCGGUGAUAAACCGGAGGAAGGUGGGGAUGACGUCACGUCAUCAUGGCCCUUACGAGUAGGGCUACACACGUGCUACAAUGGCGCAUACAAAGAGAAGCGACCUCGCGAGAGCAAGCGGACCUCAUAAAGUGCGUCGUAGUCCGGAUUGGAGUCUGCAACUCGACUCCAUGAAGUCGGAAUCGCUAGUAAUCGUAAAUCAGAAUGUUACGGUGAAUACGUUCCCGGGCCUUGUACACACCGCCCGUCACACCAUGGGAGUGGGUUGCAAAAGAAGUAGAUAGCUUAACCUUCGGGAGGGCGUUUACCACUUUGUGAUUCAUGACUGGGGUGAAGUCGUAACAAGGUAGGCGUAGUGCU
This 528-nucleotide ribosomal RNA is filed under the name uncultured bacterium. Its description in RNAcentral is "bacterial SSU rRNA". It matches the Rfam family "Bacterial small subunit ribosomal RNA", at positions 984 to 1509 of the family's 1533-position model. The record is from RNAcentral.